This 253-nucleotide ribosomal RNA is filed under the name uncultured bacterium. RNAcentral's name for it is "partial 16S ribosomal RNA". It matches the Rfam family "Bacterial small subunit ribosomal RNA", at positions 524 to 776 of the family's 1533-position model. The record is from RNAcentral.
UACGUAGGGUGCAAGCGUUGUCCGGAAUUAUUGGGCGUAAAGAGCUCGUAGGCGGUCUGUCGCGUCGGCUGUGAAAACUCGGGGCUCAACCCCGAGCCUGCAGUCGAUACGGGCAGACUAGAGUCCGGCAGGGGAGACUGGAAUUCCUGGUGUAGCGGUGAAAUGCGCAGAUAUCAAGAGGAACACCUGUGGUGUAGACAGCUUACUGGACCAUAACUGACGCUGAGGCACGAAAGCGUGGGUAGCAAACAGG